Molecule: ribosomal RNA, 938 nt
Filed under: Candidatus Poseidoniales archaeon
Lineage: Archaea; Methanobacteriati; Thermoplasmatota; Candidatus Poseidoniia; Candidatus Poseidoniales
Also listed under: 1 other name
Description: Marine Group II euryarchaeote (marine metagenome) partial 23S ribosomal RNA
Rfam family: Archaeal large subunit ribosomal RNA
Source: RNAcentral
CGAAGGACCAGUAAACAGCGGGGGUAACUAUGACCCUCUUAAGGUAGCGUAAUACCUUGUCGCUUAAUUGGCGACUUGCAUGAAUGGUCCAACGAGGGCUCCACUGUCCCCGCGAUAUGUCCGGCGAAAUUGACUUUACUGGCGCACAGUCCAGUACAUUCUACCCGCAAGCGAAGACCCCAUAGAGCUUUACUGCAGCCUGUCGUUGCAUAGUCGCUUUCCAUGUACUGUGUAGGUGGGAGACGUUGAUCCCAGGGACGCCAGUCCCUGGGGGAGUUGAAAGAAGAGACACCACCCUUGGAAGGUAACUAUGCUAACUGUUGAUCAGGACACCGAUUGGUGGGCAGUUUGGGUGGGGCGCCACGCGCUCGAAAACCUAACAAGCGUGCCCAAUGGUCAGCUUAGGUGGUUCAGCACUCCACCGACAACUGUAAGGGGAAAAGCUGGCUUGACGUGGAUCCGCACAAUAAGGAUCGACGAUGCGAAAGCAGGGCCUAACGAACCUACCAGCCUUAUUUCUGAGGGCGGUAGAUAACAGAAAAGUUACCUUGGGGAUAAUUGAGUUGUCACCAGCAAGAGCUCACAUCGACCUGGUGGCUUGCUACUUCGAUGUCGUCUCUUCCUAUCCUGGGUCUGCAGCAGGACCCAAGGGUGGGGUUGUUCGCCCAUUAAAAGGGAUCGUGAGAUGGGUUUAGACCGUCGUGAGACAGGUUUGUUGCUUGGUGGUAGAAUCGCUCGGUGUUUGAUGGAAGGGGUCCUUUAGUACGAGAGGAACGAGGACUCGGGGCCACUAGUUUACCAGUUGUCUGACAAGGCAAAGCUGGGUAGCCACGCCCUGAGGGAUAAGAGCUGAAAGCAUCUAAGCUCGAAGCCCGCCCAAAGACGAGACACCAUAGAACACUCGUAGAAGACGAGUUUGAUAGACUGCGGAUGUAAGU